CAAAUUGGAGUGGCAAGUGUCAUCAGGGGGAUCCUAAUGCUGACACCAAUGGUAGCACUUCUUACAAGACUUUCCUACUGCCACAGCCAAGUACUCCACCACUCCUACUGCUACCACCCUGAUGUGAUGAAGCUCUCAUGCACAGACACCAGAAUCAACAGUGCAGUUGGGCUGACUGCCAUGUUCUCUACUGUUGGUGUAGACUUACUUCUCAUCCUCCUUUUGCUUUGACAAGUCAUGGUUCUAAGUGUUUUUUGUAUGUAUUAACAUAUUUUAUAUCUAAAGCAAUGUUAUAAGAUAAUCACUUUAAUUAUCAAUAAGAAAAUUGAGGCAUGAAAUGUUAAGUAGCUUGCUUAAACAGCUAGUAACUGGUGUUGCUGAUGGCAGAGCACAUCCAUGCAGACUGACUCCAGAGUCCCCCACACUCUUAACUUAAAUGCUAAACUUAUAUUUAUAAAUUAUGUACUUAUAUAUGUAAAUUAUAUUUAUAUUUAUAAAUAUAAAUAUAGAGAGAAGUUCAGGCAAUUUUUACUAGGAAACAUAAAGAAGUAAGUGCAUGCAUAUAUUUCAAUGCCACACUAAUAUCACUAAUUUAAGAUGGGCUGUAUAGUUGGUAUCAGGUCCAGAAAGGAAGUAGAAGUAAUCAUUCGUAUCUACAGGCUUGCCCCCUCGCUUUAUGGAGAUCUCUGCCAACUGCACCUUAUUACAGGGCCCUUGAUGUUAUAAUAAUUAUAAUAGUAAUACCUCUCCCUCAAUUUCUUCCUGUAUUCACUCUCAUCCUUUCCUGUCUUAUUUUUAAUUUUUAGCAUUUUUAUUCCCCAACAUAUUACAUAUAGGCUGUUUCUUUUCUGGUUUCCUCAUCAUUCCCUGUAGGAAAUUUAUUAAGUGACUAUAGUAUUUAUAGUACUGUAAGAAUUAUGUCAAAUCCUCAGCCUGUUUGACAACAACAUUUCACUUGAAUGUUUCAUAAUCAUCUUAGAAUCAACAUCUAAUAUAUACUAAUAUUCCCAUCAAGGAAAAAGCAUGCUCACCCACAGUCUUCUCUAACUCAGUAACUCUACCUUCCAGUUUGUUGAGACAAAGCACUUGGAGUUAUCCCUGAUGCCUUUCUAUCACCCCGAUGCUACAUCUAACCUUUUAGUAAAUCCUGGUGACC
RNAcentral lists this long non-coding RNA (1156 nucleotides) under Pan troglodytes (chimpanzee). RNAcentral describes it as "long non-coding RNA NONPTRT002946". Lineage: Eukaryota; Metazoa; Chordata; Mammalia; Primates; Hominidae. The record is from RNAcentral.